UGCUUUCACUAGCGAGCUCAGGUGUCAGUUCAGAGAGCAACUUCAAUGUUCUCUAAUAUCUGAUUGACCCAUAGAGAAUUUUUAUUGAUGUUCUAGUACUGCAUACUAAUGUAUUUUCAAUGCAUAUUUUAUAGCUUAGGGUGUGAAAUAUUCAUUUUGUGCAGCUUGCGAUCAUCAACUAUUUAACUCUGGUGAAAUUUAUGGUGUUGUGGAACGAUUGAAGUUAGUACAAAGUCGAGACACUUAUAUUGAGAUGGACGGAUUAUAAGUUUACUUACAGUUGAACUGAACCUCAAAUGUAGAAAGCAGAUGGUGGUCAAGAAUCGGAAAAUGCUCAUGCUUGAAAUAGCAAUGUGACCAAGCAAGGUGGUACUGAAUCACGUGUAUAACUUCCUGUGUCACUAAGCACAUCAAGAAAAUACAUUUGUAGGCAGUAUGUUUGGCAAAGUAUCUUGGUUUUUUAGGUCAAAAAGCCAAAGCUGACCACUCCAACACAACCUAAGACAUUGGUGCUCCAAGACAACCUCAAGACAUUUCUACGGCUAGCUGAGAGUUUAGAAUUGGAACACAUUGUAGGAGCAAGCAACAACUACGCAAGAAUUAGUCUUUAAAUGAACACAUAUUAUGUAUAAUGUAUGGAAAGUUUAGUUCUACUUUGUAGUAUAUAUAUUCUCUUAAUUAUUUACAUCUUUCA
Molecule: long non-coding RNA, 694 nt
Organism: Triticum urartu
Lineage: Eukaryota; Viridiplantae; Streptophyta; Magnoliopsida; Poales; Poaceae
Source: RefSeq, a predicted model, not a curated record